UAGGGAAUCUUGCGCAAUGGGCGAAAGCCUGACGCAGCAACGCCGCGUGCGGGAAGAAGGCUCUCGGGUUGUAAACCGCUUUCAGUAGGAACGAAUUUGACGGUACCUGCAGAAGAAGGUGCGGCCAACUACGUGCCAGCAGCCGCGGUGACACGUAGGCACCAAGCGUUGUCCGGAUUUAUUGGGCGUAAAGAGCUCGUAGGCGGUUCAGUAAGUCGGGUGUGAAAACUCAGGGCUCAACCCUGAGCUGCCACCCGAUACUGCUGUGACUUGAGUCCGGUAGGGGAGUGGGGAAUUCCUGGUGUAGCGGUGAAAUGCGCAGAUAUCAGGAGGAACACCGGUGGCGAAGGCGCCACUCUGGGCCGAGACUGACGCUGAGGAGCGAAAGCAUGGGUAGCAAACAGG
Molecule: ribosomal RNA, 405 nt
Filed under: uncultured bacterium
Lineage: Bacteria
Description: bacterial SSU rRNA
Rfam family: Bacterial small subunit ribosomal RNA
Source: RNAcentral